RNAcentral lists this ribosomal RNA (677 nucleotides) under uncultured Bacteroidales bacterium. Its description in RNAcentral is "bacterial SSU rRNA". It matches the Rfam family "Bacterial small subunit ribosomal RNA", at positions 32 to 715 of the family's 1533-position model. The record is from RNAcentral. Lineage: Bacteria; Pseudomonadati; Bacteroidota; Bacteroidia; Bacteroidales.
AACGCUAGCUACAGGCUUAACACAUGCAAGUCGAGGGGUCUGCUUCGGCAGACGACCGGCGCACGGGUGAGUAACGCGUAUCCAACCUGCCCUUCAUAUUGGGAUAGCCUCUCGAAAGGGAGAUUAAUACCGAAUAACAUGGUAAAGUUGCCUGAUUUUACCAUGAAAGCUCCGGCGAUGAAGGAUGGGGAUGCGUUCCAUUAGGUAGUAGGCGGGGUAACGGCCCACCUAGCCGACGAUGGAUAGGGGUUCUGAGAGGAAGGUCCCCCACACUGGAACUGAGACACGGUCCAGACUCCUACGGGAGGCAGCAGUGAGGAAUAUUGGUCAAUGGGCGCAAGCCUGAACCAGCCAAGUAGCGUGAAGGAUGACUGCCCUAUGGGUUGUAAACUUCUUUUAUACGGGAACAAAUGGAGGUACGUGUACUUUUUUGCGUGUACCGUAUGAAUAAGCAUCGGCUAACUCCGUGCCAGCAGCCGCGGUAAUACGGAGGAUGCGAGCGUUAUCCGGAUUUAUUGGGUUUAAAGGGAGCGUAGGUGGCCUGUUAAGCCAGCUGUGAAAUACUGUAGCUCAACUACAGCCGUGCAGUUGGAACUGGCGGGCUUGAGUGCACAAGAGGAAGGUGGAAUUCAUGGUGUAGCGGUGAAAUGUUUAGAUAUCACGAAGAACUCCGAUUG